Ictalurus punctatus (channel catfish) is the source of this 2245-nucleotide long non-coding RNA. Lineage: Eukaryota; Metazoa; Chordata; Actinopteri; Siluriformes; Ictaluridae. The record is from Ensembl.
CAGUUUUAGAGUGAAUGGUUGGCGUUUACUCAUAGUUGACUCCUCUUUUACAGGGGACUCUGAUGAACCUGACCAUAUUCUAAUAUAAAUACUAAUUGUAAUCUUUGUAUAACAUGAUUAUUUAUUUCUAGCUCAAGUUUACCUCAGAAUUUAUGUUAACAUGGUGGAGAUACUAGUUCUCAAUCACAACUAGAUUUAGGUUAUUAAAAUAUUCUUGCAAUACUUCUUGCAGGUAUAAGCGUGUGACCAGUGUAUUCUGUAUAUUUAAUCUAUGCCAAAUGUGAAGCAAUCUAAACUGCUCCACGAACUAUAUUUAAAGUGCAUUCAAAGUGGACCUAAAUUUCAGUUAAAUAUUUCAACCAUAUUGUCACUAUGACUGAAGUCAGGCAAUUCAGAGUUCCUUGUUCGUUUCCGUCUCAGGGAAAAUCACAAAUGUGUGCUUUCUGGAAAGGACAAAAAUAAUCUAAAAAAAACAUUGCCAGUUUGGUAAAAAAAGAAAAAAAAAGAAAAAAGGUUUAGAACUUGCCCAAAGCCAAGCCAAAAUUACAGCGGUACUCUGGUAUUUUGUAUUGGAAAUCCCUGUUAAUUUAAAAGGAUGUUUGAAAAAGUUUUCAGGCCAUUUUGAAUGUCUCAGUAAAUCAAAGUGAAUGAUUUGUGGCAUAACCUCGAAGAUUUUCCCGAUUUUCCCACUUCCCCAGUGUUAGGAAAUUCAAAUGGCAUUCAACCCCUGUCUUAUGCAGUUUUCUUAAACACUGUAUACGCUGAUCUUAAGAAACAUUGUAUGUGUCAGUCACACACAGCGUGUGAUUGAGGAGCCUAGACUUACGUUUAUGUGUCAUCAAACGAUUGGUGAGAAUUAUUUUUAGCAUCUGGAUUUAUACUUUAGAGUGGUCUGUACCAUAAACAGACACAUGCACAUUUGUACUGCCAAAUCAAUCACUUGAAAUGCAUAAGACCUGCUCCAGCCUUGUAUAUUGUUCUUGUAUAUUUCCCCACAUAAUAAUAUAAUUGUUUUAUUCUCUAUUUGCAUGGUAGUUGAUGUUAGAGUAGAAUAGUGCCUUGUAGGCAUAGCAUUUCAGUUUGAAAAAGCUGAAAACAAAGCUGCUGAUUAGUAGUGAUAAGAAGUAUUCCAACUGAGUAUUGGCUGUGUCUACAGUUAUCCUUUUUUCUUUUAUUUGGGACUGGGUUAUUUCUUCCUUCCUUUUUUUUUUAUUUGUAUUUUUUUUAUUUUUAAAGAGAAAACAAGGCAUGUACCUUGUUCAGAAUCUAUACAAGUCUACCUCAGGAUGUUGAAAUUUAAGUGGACCUGGACUGAGUCUGCCCCUGUAACCAGUACAGUGUCCAAUUAAAUGUGUAAGUAAUGUGAAAGGUGUAUGUGUGUGUGUAUUUGUGUGUUUUGUGUGAGUGUGCAUGUUAUUUAGUUUAUAGUGCUAAACUUAUUUCAAGUGUAAUAGCAAAGUCAAGGUGUUGUGACUUGGAAUGCAAGUUCUUUUGCAAGAUAUCAGUGGCUUUAGAACAAAAGCUGAAAAAUGCUGUUAGAAAUUCACUUUGAGGUUAAAAUACACGCAGUAGUUUGUGUGAACCGCUUAGACAUUGUCUUAUCAUUUUCUCUGGAGAAGACAACAUUGCUAUCAGUGUAAAAACAAACAAAAAAAAUGUUCUCAGAAAAGUUAAUGGAUGGAAACAUUAAACAUGAGAAUUAGACCACCAUUAUUCCUAAACAAAUCAUGAGGAACAAUUUCAUAAACAUCAAAAUAUCUUUAAAUGUGCCUGUAAAAACUGCAUUGUGCACAAUGGGUACUUUUUCAAGCCAUCUACAAUAGAUACAAAUCCAAAAUCUAUACUUUGAAUUAAAAUGUCUUCUAAGUUCAUUAAUGUAUUUAAUGGCUUCACUCUGACAUGAUGUGUUUAAUAAUUGAUGCUCAUGGCUUUUCUUUAAAGCACAAGCAGGAAUCAUAUCUCAUUUAUAUAAUAUUCUUUGUGGUUGGAAUUGUGUGUUCGGAAUUUUAUGUUGCCGUCAAACCUGUGCAUUACAUUCAGUGUUCGGUGAAGUUUGAAAGAUCUAUUUUGUAUUCAAAUGACCAAAGAAUGUAGCCAUGUUGUGGCAAGCCAGUGGCUUCAUUAUGGAGCCCCAUCUGAAUGGCCUCAACAGUCACCCAAGUGCAUGGGUUCAGCUGUCAGCUUGAUCUUUUUCAACAUAUUGUGACAAAGCAUGCAAAGAAUGUUGUGACCAAGAAUGUUUUAG